RNAcentral lists this ribosomal RNA (1394 nucleotides) under Streptomyces sp. DR-R1. RNAcentral describes it as "bacterial SSU rRNA". It matches the Rfam family "Bacterial small subunit ribosomal RNA". Lineage: Bacteria; Bacillati; Actinomycetota; Actinomycetes; Kitasatosporales; Streptomycetaceae. The record is from RNAcentral.
UGCAGUCGAACGAUGAACCACUUCGGUGGGGAUUAGUGGCGAACGGGUGAGUAACACGUGGGCAAUCUGCCCUGCACUCUGGGACAAGCCCUGGAAACGGGGUCUAAUACCGGAUACUGAUCAUCUUGGGCAUCCAAGGUGUUCGAAAGCUCCGGCGGUGCAGGAUGAGCCCGCGGCCUAUCAGCUUGUUGGUGAGGUAAUGGCUCACCAAGGCGACGACCGGGUAGCCGGCCUGAGAGGGCGACCGGCCACACUGGGACUGAGACACCGGCCCAGACUCCUACCGGGAGGCAGCAGUGGGGAAUAUUGCACAAUGGGCGAAAGCCUGAUGCAGCGACGCCGCGUGAGGGAUGACGGCCUUCGGGUUGUAAACCUCUUUCAGCAGGGAAGAAGCGAAAGUGACGGUACCUGCAGAAGAAGCGCCGGCUAACUACGUGCCAGCAGCCGCGGUAAUACGUAGGGCGCGAGCGUUGUCCGGGAAUUAUUGGGCGUAAAGAGCUCGUAGGCGGCUUGUCACGUCGGUUGUGAAAGCCCGGGGCUUAACCCCGGGUCUGCAGUCGAUACGGGCAGGCUAGAGUUCGGUAGGGGAGAUCGGAAUUCCUGGUGUAGCGGUGAAAUGCGCAGAUAUCAGGAGGAACACCGGUGGCGAAGGCGGAUCUCUGGGCCGAUACUGACGCUGAGGAGCGAAAGCGUGGGGAGCGAACAGGAUUAGAUACCCUGGUAGUCCACGCCGUAAACGGUGGGCACUAGGUGUGGGCAACAUUCCACGUUGUCCGUGCCGCAGCUAACGCAUUAAGUGCCCCGCCUGGGGAGUACGGCCGCAAGGCUAAAACUCAAAGGAAUUGACGGGGGCCCGCACAAGCGGCGGAGCAUGUGGCUUAAUUUCGACGCAACGCGAAGAACCUUACCAAGGCUUGACAUACACCGGAAACGUCUGGAGACAGGCGCCCCCUUGUGGUCGGUGUACAGGUGGUGCAUGGCUUGUCGUCAGCUCGUGUCGUGAGAUUGUUGGGUUAAGUCCCGCAACGAGCGCAACCCUUGUCCCGUGUUGCCAGCAGGGCCCUUGUGGUGCUGGGGACCUCCACGGGAGACCGCCUGGGGUCAACUCGGAGGAAGGUGGGGGACGACGUCAAGUCAUCAUGCCCCUUAUGUCUUGGGCUGCACACGUGCUACAAUGGCCGGUACAAUGAGCUGCGAUACCGUGAGGUGGAGCGAAUCUCAAAAAGCCGGUCUCAGUUCGGAUUGGGGUCUGCAACUCGACCCCAUGAAGUCGGAGUCGCUAGUAAUCGCAGAUCAGCAUUGCUGCGGUGAAUACGUUCCCGGGCCUUGUACACACCGCCCGUCACGUCACGAAAGUCGGUAACACCCGAAGCCGGUGGCCCAACCUCCUUGUG